RNAcentral lists this ribosomal RNA (510 nucleotides) under uncultured bacterium. RNAcentral describes it as "partial 16S ribosomal RNA". It matches the Rfam family "Bacterial small subunit ribosomal RNA", at positions 28 to 507 of the family's 1533-position model. The record is from RNAcentral.
GACGAACGCUGGCGGCGUGCUUAACACAUGCAAGUCGAACGAAGAGCGAUGGAAGCUUGCUUCUAUCAAUCUUAGUGGCGAACGGGUGAGUAACGCGUAAUCAACCUGCCCUUCAGAGGGGGACAACAGUUGGAAACGACUGCUAAUACCGCAUACGAUCUAAUCUCGGCAUCGAGGAAAGAUGAAAGGUGGCCUCUAUUUAUAAGCUAUCACUGAAGGAGGGGAUUGCGUCUGAUUAGCUAGUUGGAGGGGUAACGGCCCACCAAGGCGAUGAUCAGUAGCCGGUCUGAGAGGAUGAAUGGCCACAUUGGGACUGAGACACGGCCCAGACUCCUACGGGAGGCAGCAGUGGGGAAUCUUCCGCAAUGGACGAAAGUCUGACGGAGCAACGCCGCGUGAGUGAUGACGGCCGUCGGGUUGUAAAGCUCUGUUAAUCGGGACGAAAGGCCUUCUUGCGAACAGUUAGAAGGAUUGACGGUACCGGAAUAGAAAGCCACGGCUAACUACGUG